This 238-nucleotide ribosomal RNA is filed under the name uncultured bacterium. RNAcentral describes it as "partial 16S ribosomal RNA". It matches the Rfam family "Bacterial small subunit ribosomal RNA", at positions 100 to 334 of the family's 1533-position model. The record is from RNAcentral.
CGGGACGGGUGAGUAACGCGUGGGUAACCUGCCUCAUACAGGGGGAUAACAGUUAGAAAUGACUGCUAAUACCGCAUAAGCCCACGGCUUGGCAUCGAGCAGAGGGAAAAGGAGUAAUCCGCUUUGAGAUGGCCUCGCGUCCGAUUAGCUAGUUGGUGAGGUAACGGCCCACCAAGGCGACGAUCGGUAGCCGGACUGAGAGGUUGAACGGCCACAUUGGGACUGAGACACGGCCCAG